AGCGAACGCUGGCGGCAGGCCUAACACAUGCAAGUCGAACGAACUCUUCGGAGUUAGUGGCGGACGGGUGAGUAACACGUGGGAACGUGCCUUUAGGUUCGGAAUAACUCAGGGAAACUUGUGCUAAUACCGAAUGUGCCCUUCGGGGGAAAGAUUUAUCGCCUUUAGAGCGGCCCGCGUCUGAUUAGCUAGUUGGUGAGGUAAAGGCUCACCAAGGCGACGAUCAGUAGCUGGUCUGAGAGGAUGAUCAGCCACAUUGGGACUGCGACACGGCCCAAACUCCUACGGGAAGCAGCAGUGGGGAAUCUUGCGCAAUGGGCGAAAGCCUGACGCAGCCAUGCCGCGUGAAUGAUGAAGGUCUUAGGAUUGUAAAAUUCUUUCACCGGGGACGAUAAUGACGGUACCCGGAGAAGAAGCCCCGGCUAACUUCGUG
RNAcentral lists this ribosomal RNA (433 nucleotides) under uncultured bacterium. RNAcentral describes it as "partial 16S ribosomal RNA". It matches the Rfam family "Bacterial small subunit ribosomal RNA", at positions 29 to 507 of the family's 1533-position model. The record is from RNAcentral.